AUUGAACGCUGGCAGCAUGCCUUACACAUGCAAGUCGAACGGCAGCAUGGAGAGCUUGCUCUCUGAUGGCGAGUGGCGAACGGGUGAGUAAUGCAUCGGAACGUACCGUGUAAUGGGGGAUAACGUAGCGAAAGUUACGCUAAUACCGCAUACGACCUGAGGGUGAAAGCAGGGGAUCGCAAGACCUUGCGUUAUACGAGCGGCCGAUGUCAGAUUAGCUAGUUGGUGAGGUAAAGGCUCACCAAGGCGACGAUCUGUAGCGGGUCUGAGAGGAUGAUCCGCCACACUGGGACUGAGACACGGCCCAGACUCCUACGGGAGGCAGCAGUGGGGAAUGUUGGACAAUGGGGGCAACCCUGAUCCAGCCAUGCCGCGUGAGUGAAGAAGGCCUUCGGGUUGUAAAGCUCUUUCGGCCGGGAAGAAAUCGCACAGGCUAAUACUCUGCGUGGAUGACGGUACCGGCAUAAGAAGCACCGGCUAACUACGUGCCAGCCGCCGCCGUAA
This 504-nucleotide ribosomal RNA is filed under the name uncultured bacterium. RNAcentral describes it as "partial 16S ribosomal RNA". It matches the Rfam family "Bacterial small subunit ribosomal RNA", at positions 30 to 523 of the family's 1533-position model. The record is from RNAcentral.